This 254-nucleotide ribosomal RNA is filed under the name uncultured bacterium. RNAcentral describes it as "partial 16S ribosomal RNA". It matches the Rfam family "Bacterial small subunit ribosomal RNA", at positions 524 to 776 of the family's 1533-position model. The record is from RNAcentral.
UACGGGUGGAGCAAGCGUUGUUCGGAUUUACUGGGCGAAAAGGGCGCGUAGGCGGUCAGCACAAGUCAGUUGUGAAAUCUCCGGGCUUAACUCGGAAAGGUCAACUGAUACUGUGCGACUAGAGUGCGGAAGGGGCAACUGGAAUUCUUGGUGUAGCGGUGAAAUGCGUAGAUAUCAAGAGGAACACCUGCGGCGAAGGCGGGUUGCUGGGCCGACACUGACGCUGAGGCGCGAAAGCCAGGGGAGCGAACGGG